RNAcentral lists this ribosomal RNA (253 nucleotides) under uncultured bacterium. Its description in RNAcentral is "partial 16S ribosomal RNA". It matches the Rfam family "Bacterial small subunit ribosomal RNA", at positions 524 to 776 of the family's 1533-position model. The record is from RNAcentral.
UACGUAGGGCGCAAGCGUUGUCCGGAAUUAUUGGGCGUAAAGAGCUCGUAGGCGGCUUGUCACGUCGAUUGUGAAAGCCCGAGGCUUAACCUCGGGUCUGCAGUCGAUACGGGCUAGCUAGAGUGUGGUAGGGGAGAUCGGAAUUCCUGGUGUAGCGGUGAAAUGCGCAGAUAUCAGGAGGAACACCCGUAGCGAAGGCGGCACUCUGGGCCGAUACUGACACUGAGGAGCGAAAGCGUGGGGAGCGAACAGG